RNAcentral lists this unclassified non-coding RNA (823 nucleotides) under Hevea brasiliensis (rubber tree). The record is from RNAcentral. Lineage: Eukaryota; Viridiplantae; Streptophyta; Magnoliopsida; Malpighiales; Euphorbiaceae.
UCAUCAAAUUUCAAUGCUGAGGCAUAUGUCAGGAAUUUUGCUGACAAGGAUGGGAAAAUCUGGCAAGGAGGUGGUGGACGAAAUCCUCCUCCUGAGGCACCUCAUCUCGUCAUGACUACCCCUGAAAUAGAGGCUCUAAGGCCAAAGUCACCCAUGAAGAACCACCAGUGAAAAACCAGCAGCAACAGCAAUCAACAUCCAUUUCUCUAACGACGGCCAAUUCUUCCAGCAGGAGGGCUGCUGGAAAUUCUCCACAGAAUCCAAGCACUUUCAGUUUGAACCAAGAGACUUCUAACUCUAACCCUUCAACUCCGGCUGCAUGGGCUUCUCCAAUGGAGGGUUUUAGAGGACGAGAAAGUGGGAAUAUGCCUUUAGAGGACAAACUUUUUGACAUGUAUGGAUAUGCCGGGCAGGCAAAUGGGGAGUACCUUGAUUUUGAGUCUCAAAGACCAAUGAAUUUGUUGUAAGAAACACGUGUCAUAAAAUUUUGUUGUAUUCCCUGUAAUUUUUUUCCCAACUAAAAUAUAGAUGGAAAGGGAUGCCAUUUCAUUUCAUACCAUCUUCACAUGUGGCCAUCGAGGUAAAACUGAUCGCUGGUGAAUGGUCAUCUCCGCAGGGAAAUCAGAUAGCGAUUAUCGCUAAACCCAUAAAUCAAAAAUAGCCUUUCGUAAGGCAGCGGUACUCGUGUAUAACCUUUAAUUUUAUACUUUAACGCUGUUAUUUUAUUACCUUUGAAAUGUCCAGCGUUACCAAUUUACCAUGGCAAACAAAUCUUCUGAUUACAGCUUGCCAAACCCUGCCAUAAUUAGCUUUAUGAUAAUCA